AAAUAUAUUUCAUAACAGCAAUAAUAAAUCUCUCAGUUGAGGUUUCCACAGAGAUCUAAACCGUCCUUCAGGUAUUAAUCUGACACAUGCUAAGACAUAAGCAUAAACCUAUCAGUUUCAGUGGUUUAUGUAAUUAGAUGGAGCUUUAUUUCUUGGAGUAACAAGAAACUAAAAGAUUCGUCAAACGUUUUACAGAAAGAAAUUAAUUAGAGAAAUUGACUCCUUCCCCAUGAUUAAUCAUCCACUUCAUACUGAAAUUUUUCAUAAAACCCUUCAUUUCUACACCAUAAUUUCACAGAGGAAGAAACAAUAAAUAUGAAGAGUUACGGAAACGUUACGGGAAUGAAAGAUGCAUGGCUAACUCUAGCUGCAGGUCUUGAGAAGGUAAGGAGAAGCACUAUGGCCUGCAAGCUUCAAUUUUUUGUAAAGAAGGUUAAAAAUUUUGCGUUUAAUGCUUCCUCUGACUGGCGGCAAAAGGAUUCUCUUCUUGUCAUUCCUUCUGGCAACUACUGCUCUUUGGGAUAGAUUUGUUAAUCCCAUGAUCUCAGAUAUUAUUAUCCUUCUGUCCAUUUCGAGGGAGGGAGGGAGAGGGAGAGAGUUUGCGUGAG
RNAcentral lists this long non-coding RNA (608 nucleotides) under Populus trichocarpa (black cottonwood). Its description in RNAcentral is "long non-coding RNA (PTRI_LNC000577)". Lineage: Eukaryota; Viridiplantae; Streptophyta; Magnoliopsida; Malpighiales; Salicaceae. The record is from RNAcentral.